Molecule: long non-coding RNA, 2816 nt
Organism: Bos taurus (domestic cattle)
Lineage: Eukaryota; Metazoa; Chordata; Mammalia; Artiodactyla; Bovidae
Source: Ensembl
GGAUGGGGCAUGAAGAACAGCCAUUCUGAGCCACGGAUGUGGAACAGAACCAGGGCUGGGAGGAACGAGGUCCCCAGUAGGGAGAACGAGUGUGGAAACGUCGGCAACGACAGGGUGUGGAACCCUCCCGAGGAGAGAGAUCAGGGGAGCUGAAGGAGGCGCAGAGGUGGAGGGGCCUAACCUCGAGCAGGGCUGAACUCUGCAACUCUCACCCAGAUGCGCCUCGGUGUGGAAUGCAGCCGGGAACCGCUGGGGACCAGGGAGUCAGCCAUUCCUGAGAGGCACGCGGCCCACCCUGAGCAUGGGCACCGUGUCCUGAGGUCAGCCGGUCCCAGCAGAUCUGCAUGCAGGGCCCGGUGAUUCAAUUAGCGUGACUUCAGUUGUUCUUUUUCAGGUCAGUUUUCUCUUCUUUUGUUUAGACCUGACUCAAGAUUAACUUCAAUUACCUACACGUCUGCUAGAGCACCUCAACAAAUUAAAACUGCUGAAAGUGAUGAAGGAGAGGAAGGACCUGGGUCUCUGGAGAAACAAAUGGUCUCCUCCCUCCCCCACCAUCAUCUCUGUUCUCUUAAAUUACUCAACUAAACAAGCAACUGUUUCUCACAGGAAAACUCGAGACUCUGAGUCUGAAUGUGAAAACCCCGUGGUUAAGCCCUGGCUUGCAGAAAACUAAAAACUUCAGUGACUCUGGAAUGAGAUGUUAUGUUCAGAGCUAUACGAAGCGCUGCAGCUGUUCUCAGCCAACAUGGAAACCGAAAAGGGUGAUGCUAUCUUUAUCCUCUACCUACGGCCAAAGCUGAUCCCAUCCUGGGCAGGAGUCAGCUCAGUUCUAGGCUGCUGAGCCCAAGAGACAAGAAGGGAAAGGAAAGCAGGGGCUGGCAGGGCACACCUCAGCAACAACACACAACAGACCCACCGGGAAGAAAGAACAUGCAGUUAAUCAUUAAAAAUUUGAAAAGGAUGCAAGGAAAUGGAACCGCCUGAAAAGCUGUUUCUAAACGCCAUUUGGAAAACCUGUGUCAAUCGGGUCAAAAUUCAAAAGACUGGAUCGCAUCUGACUUGACCUGAAUUUCCCAAGUGGAAAGAGAACCCUUUUAUCCAUUUUCUUGGAAGAAAAAAAAACAUACUUCCCUAUGCAAACUCAGACAGCGUCUUCAGACCACCUCAUGGAGUCAGGCCCUAGAUGAGCAUCUCAGAGAGGGCAGAUGAUGAGGGAAAAUGAGCCCAAUCAGGAGGGAAGGUGCUGGGAACGGGGAUUCAUCCCAGCCCGGAGCUGGCACACAGGCUGACUGAAGAGCACGUUCCCCGGUGCAACGGCACCGCCUCACUCUGAGCAAACGUCUCCCCCGCCACUCCUGGCCGUGCACCCCCAGCCCCAGCCGGCCUGUCGGCAAUGCAACCACCAACGAAUGGAACUGUGGCGAGGGGCUUGGCGCGGUGUGAUCUGUCACUGACACACCACGCUUCCUGCUCAUGCCGCCGGCCCAUCUUCAUUCAAGAGACAGCAACAAAACGGCCGUGGGGUGGCCAGCAAGCAGGACGGCACAGGGGCUGGCGAAGGAGCGGACUUGGGAGCCACGCUGCCCAGGUUCAAAUCUGGCCUCUUCCCCUUGCCUGCUGUGGCGGAACCACCCUCAGCUGCAGAACCUCUAUCGGCCUUGGUUUUCUUAAGACGACAGUAACGCCUAUUUCACGUGGCGGCUGCGAGACCGAGGAGUUACCCGGGAAAGUGCUUAAACAGAGUCUGAAGACUUCCCUGGUGGUUCAGUGGUUAAAAGACUCUGUGCUCCCAAUGCAUGGGGCAUGGGUUCAAUCCCUGGUCAGGGAACUAAGAUCCUGCAUGCUGCACCGUGUGGCCAAAAAAAUAAAAGAAUACACACAGUCUUGGGGAGAAAGCAUCAAUUCCCCCAUGCGCAUCAGGACUUCAGAGCUGAUCUGCUAACUAGCAGCCCAACAGGCCCUGAAGACAUUCCGUUCACCCAGGGCCGUGCUUCUCAAACGUUAACACGCUUCCAGAAAGCUCACUGAAACAGAUCUGGGCCCCACCUCUGGUUUCUCACUGGAAGGUCUGGGGUAGGGCCUAACCAUCUGUGUUUCCAACAAGCUCCCAGGUGAUGCUGCCGCUCUGAGCCUCACACUUUGAGGACCACGGCUCUGUGGACCACUUGACUCCUUGUGUUCUAUGCUUCAGGCCUAAGCCUUGGUUUGUCUAUCUGCGCAGGGAGCCUGGAUGAGACAACCCAAGGAGAAGGGCAACGUGGCUCACUGCACGGAGAAGGCCCGAGGGUCCCUCCACACCGCCCAGCACCCUGCGCCUCCACACCCUGCAGGUGGUGUCCCGGAGCUGGCCUGCCCGCGGUGGGUGCCGUGCGGACACCAUCUCAACCGAGCCAGCACGAGGGGCUGUAGGUCUGCACAGGCCAUCGCAGAGGAGACCAAACCCUUCCACCCCCGCCACACCCUUCCCUCCCGCAGCCCUCUCUGCGCUGUCCACACCCCAAAGGCCAGCCCGAGACCCGCUCCUUGCUUCUGGAGAAGUACUGGGUUUUACUGCUUUUCCAUCUGCUCACAGCGCGGUGAAUCAACGUAUGAUUAAUCAAGCCUUUUUGGGUGAUGACUCAGGAUCACUAUGAUGAACAGCAUCACACAAGGCGCCUGUGGGAACCACGCAACAGCCUUCCUCCUCCAGCACUGCUCCUACGCCAGCCGGGCCUCGGCCGGCCACGCGUCCCGUCUUUUUAACUGAAACUGUUACUGAGAGCAUGUGGGUACAGAGGCAGCUGUAAGAAACAGCACAGAAGGCGCCUCUGUUCACU